Long non-coding RNA from Zingiber officinale, 794 nucleotides. RefSeq lists it as uncharacterized. The transcript is spliced from 4 exons. The record is from RefSeq and is a predicted model, not a curated record. NCBI's taxonomy places the organism in Eukaryota, Viridiplantae, Streptophyta, Magnoliopsida, Zingiberales, Zingiberaceae.
GAACCCAAUUCACCUGAACCUUCUCCUCCUUCCCGAUCCUCUCUUCUCCCCUUCCUUUGAUCUCUCUUGCGGACGAAGCAAGCGAGGGUUCCGGCGACCGUCGACCUCAACAGAACCAUUGGAAUCAUCGGAGCUCGACUGAAAUCUGCAGGCUCCAAGCCUUUUUCGACUAAGGAGUCUCAGUUUCGGCGGAUCUUGCGGCCGAACGACGACCCCUUGGUGGCUAGGGCACGGUGAGGACCAAGGUUCACGUCGACUCCCUCGUUCAUCUUCUUCGAGUUGCUCCCGGAGCGAUCCGCAUCUUCUCUAGCCAGAUCGGACAGUGACGCCCUCAGGAGGUGAUCUAGGGAGAUCAGAUUCGUGCUGGUUUCUCCCUUGAUCGAUUCUUGAAUCUUCUUCCCUUCUUCUUCUCGGUUUCAUGGAUGCCGGUGAUAUUUGAUUGACGCCAUCUAGGGCCGGAGCUACCGGCUGUGCCCUAGCUGUGAUCCUUGAGGCAAGGAUCGAUUCCUUGUUGUCCGUUCUUGCUCUUCUUCCUUGUCGCUGACUAAUCUGUCGAGUGAGGUGAAGUUCUGGAUUGUGAGGUGAACCCAGCAGAGAGGAUCUGUAGGCUGUGAAGUUCUGUUCUGUCCUAUUUUGUGGAUUGGUUAGCUCCAGUAGCAGCUCACCUUGGUUACGGUAGCCACCUCAUCCAGCAGCUCUUCUGAUUUCAGUAGUUACAGUAGCUGAGAUUGAGGACUCUGAUUCGAGACGAGCAUCUCGAUAUUGGAUUAGGACUGGAUUGUAUCUUCUAUUUG